GACGCGGCUCACUCACCUUUCCCAUUCCGAGGCAGUGGUGAAGUCCGUGAUUUCAAAUACCUCGGACUCGGGCUGCGGGAGGGGGAAGGAAACACAGAGACUGAGCCCCGGAAGAUGACACUGAGGAGCGAACUUACACAGUGACAGGGGACCGGCCAACAUGGACCACAUUCACAUGGAAACCAUGAAGAAGGCAACCUGGGUCACCCUGAGAAGUACUGCACUCACGUGGGCACGACUUCCACACCGGCAAGGACAUGCGCGAGGAGAGCACCAGCAUUCCCUGCAAGAAGCUCCGCACAGGAUAGCAGGCUGUGUCACACCCCCGAUGAAGCGGCUUCAGAGAGGCCCGCUUAGAGAUAUCUCCACCAGGCUGCAGGAGGCGGGGAGAAAAAGGAGAGAGAAUUAUGUUGCUGAGGUCUCAGCCCUGGAUCAGAUCACCGAGGGGAGAAUCGGAUACUCUUCAUGAUUCUGCCAUGAGAAUGAUUGCAUGGACGGGGCAGCGGGAAGAGGAAGACAGGAGACAAGAACAAGGAACCGUUUGGAGGGAAAUUCUCUGCGCCAACAUUAUUAGACACUGUUUUCCCCGUUUAUUCAGUCAUAUUUAUCAAGGGCCUACUGUCAUGGCACGGUGGUCAAUCCCAUGGAGGGAUUCAAAUAAUCCCUGCCCGCUGGGUUGCCACAGUCUGAGCACCAAGAGAUAAGACGUAAGUAACUAUAAAAUGGCUUAGAAAAGGAUGUGUGAUAGUUACCCAACUUCCUAAAGCUCUUUAGAAAAUCAGAGGUAGAAAAAUAUUCAAGCGACUUUUAAGAACAGGCACACGGUAUCUUAUAUUCUAAAAAAUGCAGUCCACUAUUUCUUGAAACAGAAAGCAGUACAGUUACCCAUGUGAGAAUUUCGAAAGCAAUAAUGCAGCCUUCAUUCGCUCAUCUGCAUUCAGCCAUGUCUUCAUCGCAAACUCUGUUAGAAGCAACUGCCAUCUGCCUGGCCCUGGUCCUGAAACUGGAAAAUGAAAAAAUAAAAACAAGGUGCCUGCCGUCAAAAAGCUUCGCGUAUACAGUCAUUGCAUGAUUCUCAAGGCCUAUAAUAAGUCAAGAGCACCUAGCUUCACUCCUUAAGCUUGCAUCUUAUUAUCUGGCAGUUUCAGAAGGGACAGUGCAUGGUAACAGUCUUCUAUUUUUAAAGAUAUUUAAAUGGAUCUUGAAUCAGACUGUAGGAGACAAAAUAAUUGAAAAGAGUAGUAAGAAUGAAAUGCAGAUUUGGAAAAUAAAAUUAUUCUGCUGAGCAUGUAUAUGCGUGUGCACCUAUCUACAACUAAUUACUGUAUUUUACACGUAUAAUCUUAUUUAAUAACCAGUAUUUCCUUGUUCAUGAUGGUGAAUUAUUCCAGCUACAGAUGAUUAAUAAAUGCAAAGUAUCAGGCCUCAGCCUCACCUUACAUGUCACACUGUUCUUAGACACUACUUAAAAAAUAUAUUUAUUUAUUUAUUUGAAAGGCAGAGUUACAGACAGGCAGAAGCAGAGAGGUCUUCCGUCUGCUGAUUCACUCCCCAGAUGGCCGCGCAGCCGGAACUGCACCGAUCCAAAGCCAGGAGCCAGGAUCCUCCUCUGGGUCUCCCACGCAGGUGCAGAGGCCCAAGGAUUUGGGCUGUCUUCCACUGUUUUCCCAGGCCACAGCAGAGAGCUGAAUGGGAAGUGGAGCAGCCGGGAUUGGAACAGGUGCCCGCGUGGGAUGCCGCUGCUGCAGGCGGUGGCUCUACCGGCUACACCACAGCACCGGCCCCACUCAACUACUUUAGCAGCAAUAGUAUCUCCAAAUGCUUGCCGAGUCCCUCCUCAGAUCCCUUGAACAUUCUCCCCAGUCCAGUUACAAUGGCUUAAGGAUCUCGACCUCUGCAGCUUCUGCUAUGCUGCUGCCCUUAAUCCAGCAUCUUCCAUUUAUGUCUGUUCUUUGGAGAUACUUGUCACCAAAUGUAGAGCCUGAGAAUCCGCAUUUUAAUUUAAACUGCUGUAAUAUUAUACAAGUAAUAGGAAUGUUUUCUCAUGGAAAAAGGCUCAAAUGAUAUGCAUAAAGUAAAUGAUCUUGACUGUUUUUUCAACACUUACACAACCUACAUACAAUCACUGAUCUCAGUUAAGUGUGCAUCUCUUCCGACCCUAUCAUAUGCACGUAUAUAAGUAUCUUUUUAUAAUUUGUUGUAAAGGUAGUUUUUAACCUUCUUCUAAAUCAAUUUCUUUCACAAAUAAGGAUGUCUGGCACUUAAUAUGAACACACUAAGUCAGUACUUCUAUCAACUCACUUAAUUGUCACAAUAAUCUUAAGAGGGAGACACUAUUACCAUACAGCCCUAUGUUACCAAUGAGGAAACUGAGACAAGAAGAACGUAGACAACUUGCCCCGUCACACAGUUGGUAAGUGGUAGGGCCGGUUCCAUGGGCAUGUUCUCUGAACCUCCUUAUCACAGAGAAUCAUGCUAUACAUGUUAUUUGACAACUCAAUUUUUGACUUAAUUAUGUGACUUGGAGCCCACAUAAGACAUUAUGUAAAGCUCUUUCCUUUUUUUGUACCUCUGCACAGCAUUCCAAAAUUUGAAGUAAAGAUGGAUGACCUUUUGCUUCAUUGUCUCCUACAGCUUGAUAUAUAGACUGUUAGUUACCUCUGUUAAAAAAAUAAGUCUUACUUGGAUGAUGAACUUACAGGGAUUCAUUGUACUAUACCAUUUACUACUUCAAAAUUUUCCAGAAUGAAGGUUUUUUUGAGGUAAAAAUUCAUUCUACCUGCAUCUUAGUGAUCAUGUAUGAGAAUUACUGUAGGCUAAAUAUUGAGAGGUAGGAACACUGGGUUGCGAGUGAUAGAACAAAGACGUAAGCCUCAGCCAUUCUCGCUCCUUGCCCAAAAGAUAGAUAAACAUUGGAAUGUAUUCCCUGCCCUUGAAUCUGAAUUGGGUCUCACAUUCUAUUGCCCUCAUAUCCCACCCCCACCUGAAAGACCAGUUGCUGGAAUUCCCCUCCACCUGCUGCCCCCCGACCCCUACCCCCCUCCCUAGCCCUCCUAAGAUAUAAAAAGGCCCGGUCCCUGGGGGUCAAGGACUUCUGCCAAGUGUUCCAUCAAUGUGUACACGGACAGUGGGUCACCCACCUCUACGAAUUUCUUUUCUCUGAAUAAAUUCUGU
Oryctolagus cuniculus (rabbit) is the source of this 3174-nucleotide non-coding RNA. Lineage: Eukaryota; Metazoa; Chordata; Mammalia; Lagomorpha; Leporidae. The record is from RefSeq and is a predicted model, not a curated record.